Molecule: ribosomal RNA, 254 nt
Filed under: uncultured bacterium
Lineage: Bacteria
Description: partial 16S ribosomal RNA
Rfam family: Bacterial small subunit ribosomal RNA
Source: RNAcentral
CACGUAGGGGGCAAGCGUUGUCCGGAUUCAUUGGGCGUAAAGAGCUCGUAGGCGGUUCGAUAAGUCGGGUGUGAAACCUCCAGGCUCAACCUGGAGACGCCACCCGAUACUGUCGUGACUAGAGUCCAGUAGGGGAGCGUGGAAUUCCUGGUGUAGCGGUGAAAUGCGCAGAUAUCAGGAGGAACACCAGCGGCGAAGGCGGCGCUCUGGGUUGGCACUGACGCUGAGGAGCGAAAGCGUGGGGAGCGAACAGG